UUGCUUGGGUAGCUAUACUAAAAUUGGAACCAUACAGAGAUGAUUAGCAUGAACCCUACAUAAGAAUAACAUGCAACUUUGAAGUGUUCCAUAUUUUU
RNAcentral lists this small nuclear RNA (98 nucleotides) under Sciurus vulgaris (Eurasian red squirrel). The record is from RNAcentral. Lineage: Eukaryota; Metazoa; Chordata; Mammalia; Rodentia; Sciuridae.